AUUGAACGCUGGCGGCAGGCCUAACACAUGCAAGUCGAGCGAGCGGCGGACGGGUGAGUAAUGUAUGGGGACUGCCCGAUAGAGGGGGAUAACUACUGGAAACGGUGGCUAAUACCGAAUACUAUCGGAUAACCCAUAUGGGAUUAGGUAGUUGGAGGGGUAAUGGCUCACCAAGGCGACGAUCCCUAGCUGGUCUGAGAGGCUGAUCAGCCACACUGGGACUGAGACACGGCCCAGACUCCUACGGAGGCAGCAUGGGGGAAUAUUGCACAAUGGGCGCAAGCCUGAUGCAGCCAUGCCGCGUGUAUGAAGAAGGCCCUAGGGUUGUAAAGUACUUUCAGGCGGGAGGCGUUACCGACAGAAUAAGCACCGGCUAACUCCGUGCCAGCAGCCGCGGUAAUAC
RNAcentral lists this ribosomal RNA (403 nucleotides) under uncultured bacterium. RNAcentral's name for it is "partial 16S ribosomal RNA". It matches the Rfam family "Bacterial small subunit ribosomal RNA", at positions 30 to 526 of the family's 1533-position model. The record is from RNAcentral.